AGAUCAUCCAGUUGUUGCUCAAGUGUCUUGUGUGUGCGGUAACAGGCUCAGCAGCCACCAUCUUGGCUCAGGUGGUACAAUAGUAUGCUUGUAUCAGAAGCUGCAAUUCAUUGUCUGGUUUAGAUCGUCCAGCAGAGCCCAGAAGCCUUUCAAAUUGAGUCUCCAUGUCCACGCCGCCUGGCCACGCUACAUAAGUAAGAGGC
Pelobates cultripes (western spadefoot toad) is the source of this 203-nucleotide non-coding RNA. The record is from the annotation of a GenBank genome assembly. Lineage: Eukaryota; Metazoa; Chordata; Amphibia; Anura; Pelobatidae.